Molecule: ribosomal RNA, 580 nt
Filed under: Cupriavidus taiwanensis
Lineage: Bacteria; Pseudomonadati; Pseudomonadota; Betaproteobacteria; Burkholderiales; Burkholderiaceae
Description: bacterial SSU rRNA
Rfam family: Bacterial small subunit ribosomal RNA
Source: RNAcentral
CAGCGCGGGCUUCGGCCUGGCGGCGAGUGGCGAACGGGUGAGUAAUACAUCGGAACGUGCCCUGUCGUGGGCGAUUACUAGUCGAAAGAUUAGCUAAUACCGCAUACGACCCGAGUGUGAAAGCGGGGGACCGUAAGGCCUCGCGCGAUAGGAGCGGCCGAUGUCUGAUUAGCUAGUUGGUGGGGUAAGAGCCUACCAAGGCGACGAUCAGUAGCUGGUCUGAGAGGACGAUCAGCCACACUGGGACUGAGACACGGCCCAGACUCCUACGGGAGGCAGCAGUGGGGAAUUUUGGACAAUGGGGGCAACCCUGAUCCAGCAAUGCCGCGUGUGUGAAGAAGGCCUUCGGGUUGUAAAGCACUUUUGUCCGGAAAGAAAUGGCGCUGGUUAAUACCUGGCGUCGAUGACGGUACCGGAAGAAUAAGCACCGGCUAACUACGUGCCAGCAGCCGCGGUAAUACGUAGGGUGCGAGCGUUAAUCGGAAUUACUGGGCGUAAAGCGUGCGCAGGCGGUUUGAUAAGACAGGCGUGAAAUCCCCGAGCUCAACUUGGGAAUGGCGCUUGUGACUGUCAGGCUAGA